RNAcentral lists this ribosomal RNA (1011 nucleotides) under uncultured eukaryote. RNAcentral's name for it is "bacterial SSU rRNA". It matches the Rfam family "Eukaryotic small subunit ribosomal RNA", at positions 617 to 1616 of the family's 1831-position model. The record is from RNAcentral.
AGUUAAAAAGCUCGUAGUUGAACCUUGGGCCUGGCUGGCCGGUCCGCCUCACCGCGUGUACUGGUCCGGCCGGGCCUUUCCUCCUGGGGAACCGCAUGCCCUUCACUGGGCGUGUCGGGGAACCAGGACUUUUACUGUGAAAAACAUUAUAGAUGUUCAACAGCAGCGCCGUUCUGUCUCCAACUAACUUACAUCAUGCGAUGUAAUAAAUAAUAAGAACGUACCGGUGCCGUAUCUAGUUUGGGUUGGUAUGCGUACGGCCCACCGAUUUGAUUAGAAGGGAUAGGUCCGGGGCAUUACUAUGCACUAGUCAGAGGUGAAAUUCUUGGAUCUAUUGAAGACUAACUACUGCGAAAGCAUCUGCCAAGGAUGUUUUCAUUAAUCAGGAACGAAAGUUAGGGGAUCGAAGACGAUCAGAUACCGUCGUAGUCUUAACCAUAAACUAUGCCGACUANGGAUCGGUGGGUGUUACUAUUAUGACCUCAUCGGCACCUUUACGAGAAAUCAAAGUUUUAGGGUCCUGGGGGGAGUAUGGUCGCAGAGCUUGAAACUUAAAGAAAUUGACGGGAGGGCACCACCAGGCGUGGAGCCUGCGGCUUAAUUUGACUCAACACGGGAAACUCACCAGGUCCAGACACAAUAAGGAUUGACAGAUUGAGAGCUCUUUCUUGAUUUUGUGGUUGCUGGUGCAUGGCCGUUCUUAGUUGGUGGAGUGAUUUGUCUGCUUAAUUGCGAUAACGAAGCGAGACCUUAACCGUGCUAAAUAGGCCCGGCCCGCUCUUGGCGGGUCUCCGGCUUUCUUAGAGGGGACUAUCUGGCUCAAGCCGAGUGGAAGUUUGAGGCAAUAACAAGGUUUGUGAUGCCCUUAGAAUGGUUUGGGCCGGAACGGGGGCAACAUUGACAGGGCCAACGAGUUAAUGUCCUUGGCCGGAAGGUCUGGGUAAUCUUGUUAAACCCUGUCGUGCUGGGGAUAGAGCAUUGCAAUUAUUGCUCUUCAACGAGGAAUGCCUA